This 74-nucleotide transfer RNA is filed under the name Patescibacteria group bacterium. Its description in RNAcentral is "tRNA-Pro". It matches the Rfam family "tRNA". Rfam says of the family: Transfer RNA (tRNA) molecules are approximately 80 nucleotides in length. Their secondary structure includes four short double-helical elements and three loops (D, anti-codon, and T loops). The record is from RNAcentral.
CGGGGUGUCGUAUACCGGUAGUACGCAUGUUUUGGGAACAUGUAGACAGGGUUCAAUUCCCUGCACCCCGACGA